Molecule: ribosomal RNA, 497 nt
Filed under: uncultured bacterium
Lineage: Bacteria
Description: partial 16S ribosomal RNA
Rfam family: Bacterial small subunit ribosomal RNA
Source: RNAcentral
GAUGAACGCUGGCGGCGUGCCUAAUACAUGCAAGUCGAGCGAACGGACGAGAAGCUUGCUUCUCUGAUGUUAGCGGCGGACGGGUGAGUAACACGUGGAUAACCUACCUAUAAGACUGGGAUAACUUCGGGACACCGGCGCUAAUACCGGAUAAUAUUUUGAACCGCAUGGUUCAAAAGUGAAAGACGGUCUUGCUGGCACUUAUAGAUGGAUCCGCGCUGCAUUAGCUAGUUGGUAAGGUAACGGCUUACCAAGGCAACGAUGCAUAGCCGACCUGAGGGGGUGAUCGGCCACACUGGAACGGGGACACCGUCCAUGGUACUGCGGGAGGCAGCAGUAGGGAACGUGCGGCAGUAGGCGAGAGUCUUGCGGAGCGGCGCCGCGUCAGUGAUGGAGGUCUUGGGAUCGUAAUACUCUGUUACGAGUUAAGAACAGAUUUGGAAGUAGCUGUGGAGAGCUUGACGGUAACGAAUCAGAAAGCCACGGCUAACUACGUG